GUUCUUUCACACAGGAGCAGAUCAUGCAUGACAACUCCUUUUACCUUCAAAACUGUCAUCGCUUGUCCAUCUCGUGCCCUAUUAAAUGCUGUGAAAGACAAGCCAAGGGUCAGUGGAGCCCCCAAAUGGCAUCAACAAAAGGAAUAUAUAACUGCUCCAAAUAAAAGUGUACAAGCCAGAGCACAAAGGCUCCCCCGAAAAAGAAGUCAUUCCUGAAUAAUAUGAAUGUAUGGCACAAAACUACCAAAAUAUAAGAAAAAUGAACCACACUGAAGAAGAAUGAGCAGAUACUACAAACACAUUUGGCUCCUAAAAAACUGCAUAUAAAGGAAUGAUAAGAAAGAAAACGUGAGAUAGAUAGAUGUAAAAUUACUGAAGUGUUAACAGUUUACAAAGAAAGCUUGAAGAAGAACAGAUCUAUAUGAAAAAGGAAGAGGCAGAUUUGAAAAGGAGCUAAUAGGACUUCCUAGAAAUGCAAGAAAGAAAAAAAACCACAAGCAUCUAAAACUCAGUGGUUAGCUUAAACAUGGGAUCAAAAAAAAAUGUUUAACUGUAGCAAGAAUUGGUGAACUGGAAG
This 577-nucleotide long non-coding RNA is filed under the name Homo sapiens (human). Its description in RNAcentral is "long non-coding RNA NONHSAT213587.1". Lineage: Eukaryota; Metazoa; Chordata; Mammalia; Primates; Hominidae. The record is from RNAcentral.